Molecule: long non-coding RNA, 860 nt
Filed under: Hordeum vulgare
Lineage: Eukaryota; Viridiplantae; Streptophyta; Magnoliopsida; Poales; Poaceae
Description: long non-coding RNA (HVUL_LNC017524)
Source: RNAcentral
AUAGUUUCUUAUACCUAGAAAAAGCUAUAGUGUGUGACCCCAUUAAGUACGCAAUGUCUGGGCCAAGUCUUGGCACAUGGACCAACCCGAAACAAUAAGCUCAUGCACAUCCAUGUGCCGAACAAGAGGCGAUACACAUCCUAACAUAGAACAAUAAUGAGUAAGGAGAGAAAGGACGACACCAACAUGCACACAACAAGUUCCCCACAUCUCUCAACCCCACGGGAUGCUAUUGGGCUUCCAUACAAACACCAAAUCAGAAACAUGGGGAUCAACCGGCUUUGUCUCUAUUCCAUCCUCUCAUGAGCUUUGCAACAAUUGUAGGUGGUGGUUGAUGAGGACAUGGCUACCUUGGAAAUGACAAAAAAUGUUGCAUACAAGAAUAAUUAUAAGAUGUUUUCUUAUGAUAAAUAUGCAAUAUUUUUUAUAUUAUCUAGAACAAAAAUACUUCAUCUAUUUUUAAUUCAUGCCUAAAUGCAGUAUUACUUAACACAUACAAACCACGUGUGAAGAUAAAGGAAAAUAAAAUGAUUAGAUGUUGUUCAAGAAGUCUUCUCACAUGAAAGGAAAAGAUUAGGUGAUGUUCAUGAAGUUUUCUCACGUCAUUUUUGACUCAAGGCAAGAUACAGAAAAGCUUAAGACGUCCAAGACUCAAAUUUGGAUUGCACAAACAUACCUGACUUAAAACAUCUCUAACUUUUGCAUCUAGACUCCAAAUAGGUGAAUCUUUUUUGUUUCAAAGCUUAUUUUGUAUACUUUCCAACGCAAUUGGAUUCAACUUUAAAUUCCUUUGAACUCACCUUUAAUGAUUAUGUAACACUAAGGUAUUGAUGAUACAACUUCACGCGAGGAUGAUGAAU